UACGGAGGGGGCAAGCGUUGUUCGGAAUUACUGGGCGUAAAGGGCGCGCAGGCGGCUGCUCAAGUCAGGCGUGAAAGGCCUGGGCUCAACCCGGGAACUGCGUCCGAUACUGGCAGGCUUGAAUCCGGGAGAGGGAUGUGGAAUUCCAGGUGUAGCGGUGAAAUGCGUAGAUAUCUGGAGGAACACCGGUGGCGAAGGCGACAUCCUGGACCGGCAUUGACGCUGAGGCGCGAAAGCCAGGGGAGCAAACGGG
RNAcentral lists this ribosomal RNA (253 nucleotides) under uncultured bacterium. RNAcentral describes it as "partial 16S ribosomal RNA". It matches the Rfam family "Bacterial small subunit ribosomal RNA", at positions 524 to 776 of the family's 1533-position model. The record is from RNAcentral.